GAUGAACGCUGGCGGCGUGCCUAAUACAUGCAAGUCGAGCGAACGGACGAGAAGCUUGCUUCUCUGAUGUUAGCGGCGGACGGGUGAGUAACACGUGGAUAACCUACCUAUAAGACUGGGAUAACUUCGGGAAACCGUAGCUAAUACCGGAUAAUAUUUUGAACCGCAUGGUUCAAAAGUGAAAGACGGUCUUGCUGUCACUUAUAGAUGGAUCCGCGCUGCAUUAGCUAGUUGGUAAGGUAACGGCUUACCAAGGCAACGAUGCAUAGCCGACCUGAGAGGGUGAUCGGCCACACUGGAACUGAGACACGGUCCAGACUCCUACGGGAGGCAGCAGUAGGGAAUCUUCCGCAAUGGGAAAGCCUGACGGAGCAACGCCGCGUGAGUGAUGAAGGUCUUCGGAUCGUAAAACUCUGUUAUUAGGGAAGAACAUAUGUGUAAGUAACUGUGCACAUCUUGACGGUACCUAAUCAGAAAGCCACGGCUAACUACGUG
RNAcentral lists this ribosomal RNA (495 nucleotides) under uncultured bacterium. Its description in RNAcentral is "partial 16S ribosomal RNA". It matches the Rfam family "Bacterial small subunit ribosomal RNA", at positions 28 to 507 of the family's 1533-position model. The record is from RNAcentral.